CCUGAUGCAGCAACGCCGCGUGCGGGAUGACGGCCUUCGGGUUGUAAACCGCUUUUAGUAGGGAAGAAGGGCUUCGGCUUGACGGUACCUGCAGAAAAAGGACCGGCUAACUACGUGCCAGCAGCCGCGGUAAUACGUAGGGUCCGAGCGUUGUCCGGAAUUAUUGGGCGUAAAGAGCUCGUAGGCGGUUUGUCGCGUCUGCUGUGAAAUCUGGAGGCUCAACCUCCAGCCUGCAGUGGGUACGGGCAGACUAGAGUGCGGUAGGGGAGAAUGGAAUUCCUGGUGUAGCGGUGGAAUGCGCAGAUAUCAGGAGGAACACCGAUGGCGAAGGCAGUUCUCUGGGCCGUAACUGACGCUGAGGAGCGAAAGCGUGGGGAGCGAACAGGAUUAGAUACCCUGGUAGUCCACGCCGUAAACGUUGGGCGCUAGAUGUGGGGACCUUUCCACGGUUUCCGUGUCGUAGCUAACGCAUUAAGCGCCCCGCCUGGGGAGUACGGCCGCAAGGCUAAAACUCAAAGGAAUUGACGGGGGCCCGCACAAGCGGCGGAGCAUGCGGAUUAAUUCGAUGCAACGCGAAGAACCUUACCAAGGCUUGACAUAACCGAGAACGCCCUAGAAAUAGGGAACUCUUUGGAC
RNAcentral lists this ribosomal RNA (636 nucleotides) under Agromyces sp. So3Pw_2788. RNAcentral's name for it is "bacterial SSU rRNA". It matches the Rfam family "Bacterial small subunit ribosomal RNA", at positions 382 to 1027 of the family's 1533-position model. Lineage: Bacteria; Bacillati; Actinomycetota; Actinomycetes; Micrococcales; Microbacteriaceae. The record is from RNAcentral.